AAGGGGAGCAAUCCCUGAGUAAAGUGGCGACCGGGUGAGUAACACGUGACUAACCUACCCUCGAGUGUGGAAUAACAUCGGGAAACCGAUGCUAAUACCGCAUAACAUCGCAAGAUCAAAGGAGCAAUCCGCUUGAGGAGGGGGUCGCGGCUGAUUAGCUAGUUGGCGGGGUAACGGCCCACCAAGGCGAAGAUCGGUAGCCGGCCUGAGAGGGCGCACGGCCACACUGGAACUGAAACACGGUCCAGACUCCUACGGGAGGCAGCAGUGGGGAAUUUUGCGCAAUGGGGGAAACCCUGACGCAGCAACGCCGCGUGGAGGAUGAAGUCCCUUGGG
RNAcentral lists this ribosomal RNA (336 nucleotides) under uncultured bacterium. RNAcentral's name for it is "bacterial SSU rRNA". It matches the Rfam family "Bacterial small subunit ribosomal RNA", at positions 72 to 422 of the family's 1533-position model. The record is from RNAcentral.